Molecule: ribosomal RNA, 451 nt
Filed under: uncultured bacterium
Lineage: Bacteria
Description: partial 16S ribosomal RNA
Rfam family: Bacterial small subunit ribosomal RNA
Source: RNAcentral
GAUGAACGCUGGCGGCGUGCCUAACACAUGCAAGUCGAGCGGCAGCGAGGGGUGCUUGCACCCUGUCGGCGAGCGGCGGACGGCUGAGUAACGCGUGGGAACGUGCCCCAAAGUGAGGAAUAACUGCCCGAAGGGGUAGCUAAUACCGCAUAUUAUCUUCGGAUCAAAGGAUUUAUCCGCUUUGGGAGCGGCUCGCGUCGGAUUAGGUAGUUGGUGAGGUAAUGGCUCACCAAGCCGACGAUCCGUAGCUGGUCUGAGAGGAUGACCAGCCAGACUGGAACUGAGACACGGUCCAGACUCCUACGGGAAGCAGCAGUGAGGAAUCUUCCACAAUGGGCGAAAGCCUGAUGGAGCAACGCCGCGUGCAGGACGAAGGCCUUCGGGUUGUAAACUGCUUUUAUAAGUGAGGAAUAUGACGGUAACUUAUGAAUAAGGAUCGGCUAACUACGUG